CAGUCGCCGCGGGAAUACGGAGGAUCCAAGCGUUAUCCGGAAUCAUUGGGUUUAAAGGGUCCGUAGGCGGUCUUGUAAGUCAGUGGUGAAAGCCCAUCGCUCAACGGUGGAACGGCCAUUGAUACUGCAGGACUUGAAUUAUUGGGAAGUAACUAGAAUAUGUAGUGUAGCGGUGAAAUGCUUAGAGAUUACAUGGAAUACCAAUUGCGAAGGCAGGUUACUACCAAUUGAUUGACGCUGAUGGACGAAAGCGUGGGUAGCGAACAGGAUUAGAUACCCCGGUAGUCCCUGUCUCUUAUAU
Molecule: ribosomal RNA, 301 nt
Filed under: uncultured bacterium
Lineage: Bacteria
Description: partial 16S ribosomal RNA
Rfam family: Bacterial small subunit ribosomal RNA
Source: RNAcentral